This 1103-nucleotide long non-coding RNA is filed under the name Medicago truncatula (barrel medic). RNAcentral's name for it is "long non-coding RNA (MTRU_LNC003549)". Lineage: Eukaryota; Viridiplantae; Streptophyta; Magnoliopsida; Fabales; Fabaceae. The record is from RNAcentral.
UAGGAUUCAAUGUGGGCCAAAUCAUAAACAAAAUAAGAUUUCCUUUCAAGCACAAAAUUAGCAUACAAAGGAAUUGCUAUAACGAUUUUUUUUAAGAGGAGGAAUCAUUAUUAACGAUUCUGAUGCCAUCUAUACUGAAACAACAACUGCUAAAAAUUAUUUGUAGUACACAAUAUAUAUUAAUAAAGAGGAAAAAUAAGUACGAGAUCGAGGGCAGAACUCAAACGCAGAGAUCUUAAAGUCGGUUUUAAGAACUGAGUAAGGAGAAGCUUGACUAUAUGGAGGUGAAGAUUGGGGCGCUUGACAAUAUUGGAUUUAAAAGGUGAAGAGAGUGGUCCUUUUUCUAGAGAGGUUACGAUUUUGGAAUAAGACCCCGUUGAUCGAUAAGCGCUCCUGAAAAGCAAAGACUUGCAGAUAUUUCAAAGGUCUAGAUCGAAAUGGCUUAAGAAAGGUGAUGCUACCACUGACUAUUCUUGCGUUAAGAGGAGGGGUAAAAGAACAAUAUUUUGGCGCUAAGAGUCGGUAAUAGUUUGGUCGAAGCUGAGACCACCCUUAUUUUACAUAACUCUUGCACACUCGAACACAUUUGGCAGCAGACUUCCAUUAAUAUUAAUUCUAUAUAAGAAAGCAAAAACAAGCAGAUCCCAUAUAAGAAAAAAGCACAUUAAGAAAGCAAAAACAUGCAAAUUACAUAUAGAAAAACAAAAUAAGAAAGCAAAAAUAGAAAUUUAAAAAGCCAAAACAGAUUAAUAAAACAGGUUAAGAAAGAAAGAACAAGCAAAUAAGAGACAAUGAGAGCAAGAAGAAUCAAAGACGAGGAGAGCAGAUACAAAAUGUUUACGUGACUAAUUUCCAUGGAGAGGAGAAUCAGAGACAAGGAUGCAGAUGAAUGAUGAAGAUGAAGGGUAGCGAACAGUUUGGCACCGCCAGAGACGACGAAGGUAAAUGGUGGGGAGCAGGUUGCCGUCGUGUUGAAGAUGAAUGGAGCGGUGACUUAGGAUGUUUAGAGUUCAGACUUAGGAAACGGUUGAAAUUAGAUCCAUGUGGAGUUAAACAUUCGUGUUUCGGAAAAGGUAAACCAGUCACCAGUGUACCAUUUCAUU